RNAcentral lists this ribosomal RNA (704 nucleotides) under Salmonella enterica subsp. enterica serovar Typhimurium. RNAcentral's name for it is "partial 23S ribosomal RNA". It matches the Rfam family "Bacterial large subunit ribosomal RNA", at positions 711 to 1327 of the family's 2925-position model. The record is from RNAcentral. Lineage: Bacteria; Pseudomonadati; Pseudomonadota; Gammaproteobacteria; Enterobacterales; Enterobacteriaceae.
AGACCCGAAACCCGGUGAUCUAGCCAUGGGCAGGUUGAAGGUUGGGUAACACUAACUGGAGGACCGAACCGACUAAUGUUGAAAAAUUAGCGGAUGACCUGUGGCUGGGGGUGAAAGGCCAAUCAAACCGGGAGAUAGCUGGUUCUCCCCGAAAGCUAUUUAGGUAGCGCCUCGUGAAUUCAUCUCCGGGGGUAGAGCACUGUUUCGGCUAGGGGGCCAUCCCGGCUUACCAACCCGAUGCAAACUGCGAAUACCGGAGAAUGUUAUCACGGGAGACACACGGCGGGUGCUAACGUCCGUCGUGAAGAGGGAAACAACCCAGACCGCCAGCUAAGGUCCCAAAGUCAUGGUUAAGUGGGAAACGAUGUGGGAAGGCCCAGACAGCCAGGAUGUUGGCUUAGAAGCAGCCAUCAUUUAAAGAAAGCGUAAUAGCUCACUGGUCGAGUCGGCCUGCGCGGAAGAUGUAACGGGGCUAAACCAUGCACCGAAGCUGCGGCAGCGAACGUAUCACCCAAGACAACUUUACGGAGUUGACGAUUGACGGAGCGAAGCGACGUCAAAGCGUUCAUUAAAGUCGAGUUGGCUUAGGGAUACGUUCGUUGGGUAGGGGAGCGUUCUGUAAGCCUGUGAAGGUGUGUCGUGAGGCAUGCUGGAGGUAUCAGAAGUGCGAAUGCUGACAUAAGUAACGAUAAAGCGGGUGAAAA